Molecule: ribosomal RNA, 253 nt
Filed under: uncultured bacterium
Lineage: Bacteria
Description: partial 16S ribosomal RNA
Rfam family: Bacterial small subunit ribosomal RNA
Source: RNAcentral
UACGUAGGUGGCAAGCGUUGUCCAGAUUUACUGGGCGUAAAGAGCGUGCAGGCGGUCGUGCAAGUCGCGUGUGAAAGCCCCCGGCUCAACUGGGGAGGGUCACGCGAUACUGCUCGACUUGAAGGCAGGAGAGGGAAGUGGAAUUCCCGGUGUAGUGGUGAAAUGCGUAGAUAUCGGGAGGAACACCAGUGGCGAAGGCGACUUCCUGGCCUGUUCUUGACGCUGAGGCGCGAAAGCUAGGGUAGCAAACGGG